Molecule: ribosomal RNA, 261 nt
Filed under: uncultured bacterium
Lineage: Bacteria
Description: partial 16S ribosomal RNA
Rfam family: Bacterial small subunit ribosomal RNA
Source: RNAcentral
AGGUACCUACGGGGCGCAGCAGUGGGGGAUAUUGCACAAUGGAGGGAACUCUGAUGCAGCGACGCCGCGUGAGGGAAGAAGGUUUUCGGAUUGUAAACCUCCGUCUUCGGUGACGAAACGAGACGGUAGCCGAGGAGGAAGCCACGGCUAACUACGUGCCAGCAGCCGCGGUAAUACGUAGGUGGCAAGCGUUGUCCGGAAUUACUGGGUGUAAAGGGAGCGUAGGCGGGAAAGCAAGUUGAAUGUUUAAGGGACGGGCUC